GUCCUUGCCCGCGCCAGUGCCCGCCGGGGUGCGGCGAGACAGAACCUGGGAGCGCGGCGCGCCGGGCAGCCCGAGGCACCGCUGGUGGCAGGCGCUGCGCUUCGCCGAGUCUGGGCGCCUGGACUGGAAGAGGAGGCGAGAGGGAGAGAGCGGGGAAGAGGAGGAGGAGGAGCAGGAGCAGGAGCAUGGGCAGGGGCAGUCUGCUAAAUCAUCUACGCAGAAUCUUCAGGUAUUGGAUCCUGAUACAGACCAGAUAUUCUGGAAUUCUCUCUCCAACAAAAGAUUACUUCAAGGCCAGAACACACUCCCAGCUAGAGAUCCAAGUGAAUUCCUAUGAAGUAUGCAGGGAAGGGCAAUGCUAUUUUUUUCAACAGAAAAAUAACCCUGUAGUGAAGAUGAUUUGCUCAGGGUCUCACAGCUAGUCACCGGGGAAGCCAGGAUUUGAACCCCCCAUCCUCUCAGACCUGCUUUUAACCUGACAUUUUGAUGCCUGUGCAAGUCAUGGGACUUGAUUCUAGAGUAAUAAUGGAAAGGAAUUAUAUUUGUGUCAAAUAGAAUAAGAUGCAAUUUCCAUUUUUAAUGUCUAAAAUCGUUGAAUAUUGGCAAUAUCAUGUAGUUCUACUUAAUAUAGAUAGCCAAGUACUGUGGGGAAAUAGUGUAGAUUUUAGCAUCUGACUAGCCUAAGCUAGAAUCCCAGCUGCACCUCAUGUCAGAAUUGAAUUACUUCUAUAUUGUUUAACUUUUCUAAGCCUUUGUUUAACCUUCCUAAGCCUUUGUUUCCUCAUUUUUAAAAAUGGUGGAGAAUGGUACUUCCUUUAAAGGUCCUUAUGAAGAGCACACAGUGCCAUGUCUGCAAAAAACCUAUCUCAGUAUAUCAGUAUAUUAUGCAUAGUAAGUUGUAAAUAGAACACAGCAGAUAUUAUUGCCAAUAAGGGAUUAACAAAUACCAAAUUGGAAAAUAAGAGGAGCAUUUUAAUUGUUUGUUGUAUGUUUAAUAUUGUAUUUUUAGAUAAGAAAUAAUUUGUCAUUCUUUUUAAAUGCUGAAUACUAUUUUUUAGUACUGAGUGCUAUUUUUUAAUUUGUAGAUUAUUUGGCUAUGUGUGGGAGAAGAAGGGCAUUAUUGAUGAUUUCUAUGUUCUGUCUCUUACACAUAUUUUCUUUUUUUCUAUAAUAAAUAAGAAGUGUUUUUAUAGUGGAUAUGAAGCUAUAAGAUAAAAAUUGGUUUAAGCAUUAAAUGAUAAAAUAUUAAGAAUUUAAAAAAGGAACAACUUUCUAAAAAAGUCGAUAGCCUCUGGCUGAAAAGGAGAGUUUGAUAUUUAAAGUAAAAAUCCACGUAUGUCUUCCAUCUGCUCAUGUGCAUUCUGUCAGUCAUUUAUACAUUUAUUCAUUCAUUCAACAAAUAAUAUUUAAGUGCCACCAUGUUUCAGGAACUGUGAGGAGAUUAGAAAAAGAUGUAAUUCUUAAUUCAUAAUGGGUUAUUGAUGACAUCUUUUCCUCAGAAUAAUGAAAUGCCAGGAAGAUGCACCCUUCUUGGGCAGUCAGAUAUGUAUACUUUAUAUGCAUAUUUGAGCUCACUGAACAAGAAUAGGAAAUAGAAACUCAGCUUCAGGAAAAUAAUAGAUUAUUUCUAUCAUACAUUCAAUGGCUACUGGAAGACUAACUUAUAAAGAUAUAGGUGGUAUAUUUGCCAUUGAAAAAAAUCUUACAAAAAAUGCUAAUAGGUACUAACUGUCAUUAAAACACUGAACGUUACUAUUAAAGAAACUAAUAAGCAAGGGAAUUCAUACAAGGAAAAAAUAAAAUUACAGGUUUAAUGAAAAGAAUGUUUACCUUAGGAUAGAGAAACCCAUAACCAAAAUUUGAGAAAUCUUUGAAAUGAUAAACAGCCAUUGACCUGUUACGGGUUCUGCACUGUGCUUGCCCAAAGAGUUUAUUUUACUUUUUCUUUUCAUGCUGUAGGUCAGAGUAAAACAUUUUCUCAUUCAAUGUUUUAAGUUUUGAUUAAAUGGCAUUGACAUUUAUUGAUUUUUAAAAUAUUAUGAUUAGAAAAAAAUAGAAUUUUUUCAGAUGGUAUCUGCAACAUAAUUGGCAGCUGAAUUUGAAUUCUGCUUCUGUCCUAAUUGGUCGUAUAAUCUUAGGCAGGUCACUGGACAAUUCUGAGCUUCAGUUUUCUCAUCUAUUAAUUAGGCAGAAUGGUUUCUAAGAUACAGGAUGGUUGUGAGGAUGAGUGUUAUGAGAUAGAGAACAUGUCUAGGAUGGUAUCUAGGACACAGAAGAGACUCAAAUGUUAUCCCUUUCAUUCAAAAAAUAUUUGAUGCAUGAAAUGUGUGGUUUUCAAAAAAUUGCUGCUAUUUUAGUUCUACUUUUAAUUAUUUCUUAGAAUCUUUUUUUUCCUCCUUGGAAAUAUGUAACCGA
This 2415-nucleotide long non-coding RNA is filed under the name Homo sapiens (human). RNAcentral describes it as "non-protein coding lnc-CGA-5:1". Lineage: Eukaryota; Metazoa; Chordata; Mammalia; Primates; Hominidae. The record is from RNAcentral.